RNAcentral lists this non-coding RNA (67 nucleotides) under Nitritalea halalkaliphila. Its description in RNAcentral is "Fluoride sequence". It matches the Rfam family "Fluoride riboswitch aptamer (crcB RNA motif)". Lineage: Bacteria; Pseudomonadati; Bacteroidota; Cytophagia; Cytophagales; Cyclobacteriaceae. RNAcentral also lists the same sequence under 1 other name. The record is from RNAcentral.
UUUGUUUCAGGUGAUGGGGUUCCACCUAAAAAAAACCGCCGUAUCGGCUGAUGACUCCUACACAGUA